RNAcentral lists this ribosomal RNA (507 nucleotides) under uncultured bacterium. RNAcentral describes it as "bacterial SSU rRNA". It matches the Rfam family "Bacterial small subunit ribosomal RNA", at positions 30 to 529 of the family's 1533-position model. The record is from RNAcentral.
AUUGAACGCUGGCGGAAUGCUUUUACACAUGCAAGUCGAACGGCAGCACGGGGGCAACCUGGUGGCGAGUGGCGAACGGGUGAGUAAUACAUCGGAACGUGCCCAAUCGUGGGGGGAUAACGUAGCGAAAGUUACGCUAAUACCGCAUACGAUCUACGGAUGAAAGCGGGGGAUCGCAAGACCUCGCGCGAGUGGAGCGGCCGAUGUCAGAUUAGGUAGUUGGUGGGAUAAAAGCUUACCAAGCCGACGAUCUGUAGCUGGUCUGAGAGGACGACCAGCCACACUGGGACUGAGACACGGCCCAGACUCCUACGGGAGGCAGCAGUGGGGAAUUUUGGACAAUGGGCGCAAGCCUGAUCCAGCCAUUCCGCGUGCAGGAUGAAGGCCUUCGGGUUGUAAACUGCUUUUGUACGGAACGAAACGGUUCUCUCUAAUACAGGGGCUAAUGACGGUACCGUAAGAAUAAGACACCGGCUAACUACGUGCCAGCAGCCGCGGUAAUACGUA